This 536-nucleotide ribosomal RNA is filed under the name Bifidobacterium bifidum. Its description in RNAcentral is "bacterial SSU rRNA". It matches the Rfam family "Bacterial small subunit ribosomal RNA", at positions 161 to 708 of the family's 1533-position model. Lineage: Bacteria; Bacillati; Actinomycetota; Actinomycetes; Bifidobacteriales; Bifidobacteriaceae. The record is from RNAcentral.
UGGUAAUGCCGGAUGUUCCACAUGAUCGCAUGUGAUUGUGGGAAAGAUUCUAUCGGCGUGGGAUGGGGUCGCGUCCUAUCAGCUUGUUGGUGAGGUAACGGCUCACCAAGGCUUCGACGGGUAGCCGGCCUGAGAGGGCGACCGGCCACAUUGGGACUGAGAUACGGCCCAGACUCCUACGGGAGGCAGCAGUGGGGAAUAUUGCACAAUGGGCGCAAGCCUGAUGCAGCGACGCCGCGUGAGGGAUGGAGGCCUUCGGGUUGUAAACCUCUUUUGUUUGGGAGCAAGCCUUCGGGUGAGUGUACCUUUCGAAUAAGCGCCGGCUAACUACGUGCCAGCAGCCGCGGUAAUACGUAGGGCGCAAGCGUUAUCCGGAUUUAUUGGGCGUAAAGGGCUCGUAGGCGGCUCGUCGCGUCCGGUGUGAAAGUCCAUCGCUUAACGGUGGAUCUGCGCCGGGUACGGGCGGGCUGGAGUGCGGUAGGGGAGACUGGAAUUCCCGGUGUAACGGUGGAAUGUGUAGAUAUCGGAAAAGAACA